This 383-nucleotide ribosomal RNA is filed under the name uncultured Bacteroides sp. RNAcentral describes it as "bacterial SSU rRNA". It matches the Rfam family "Bacterial small subunit ribosomal RNA", at positions 42 to 414 of the family's 1533-position model. The record is from RNAcentral. Lineage: Bacteria; Pseudomonadati; Bacteroidota; Bacteroidia; Bacteroidales; Bacteroidaceae.
ACAGGCUUAACACAUGCAAGUCGAGGGGCAGCAUGGUCUUAGCUUGCUAAGGCUGAUGGCGACCGGCGCACGGGUGAGUAACACGUAUCCAACCUGCCGUCUACUCUUGGCCAGCCUUCUGAAAGGAAGAUUAAUCCAGGAUGGGAUCAUGAGUUCACAUGUCCGCAUGAUUAAAGGUAUUUUCCGGUAGACGAUGGGGAUGCGUUCCAUUAGAUAGUAGGCGGGGUAACGGCCCACCUAGUCAACGAUGGAUAGGGGUUCUGAGAGGAAGGUCCCCCACAUUGGAACUGAGACACGGUCCAAACUCCUACGGGAGGCAGCAGUGAGGAAUAUUGGUCAAUGGGCGAUGGCCUGAACCAGCCAAGUAGCGUGAAGGAUGACGG